Solanum lycopersicum (tomato) is the source of this 898-nucleotide RNA transcript. RefSeq lists it as uncharacterized. Lineage: Eukaryota; Viridiplantae; Streptophyta; Magnoliopsida; Solanales; Solanaceae. The record is from RefSeq and is a predicted model, not a curated record.
UGAUGGAAAUUCUUAAUGGACUUCGUUUACUCCAAAUUUGGACCAUCAGAUGACCUUUAACCCAAAGUUUUGGCCCAAAUCCUUCAACCCAAUUUCAAAAAUCUGGACCAUUAUGCCCUUUUACCCCUCUUUCUCUUCUCCAAUCUAUCUAGAUCCAACGCUAUAACAGCAACGACAAACCCAAAAAAGCGAGCUUUAAUUCCCUAAUUUGCAGGUUCAAUUUACUCUUCUCUCCCUCGAAUUCGUACGUCUGGGCGUGCCUAACACGAACUCGAGGAUAGCUGGAGGUUUCUAAGACGUUCCUAACAAUUUUAUCCUUUCAAUUUUCCUUUCUUUUUUGCAUAUUUUCAUUCAAAAAUGGUACGAAUUCAUACCUUAACCUUAUCUACUAAGGAAUUUUGGACGCUUGCAUUAGUCCCAUAUCAUUUUCUCCCUCUAUUUCGACCUAAAAGUUGUCCUAUAAAUACCCUUGUUGUUCACUGUUCAGAGAGGGUCUUUUGAAACGACAGAGUACCCCCAAAGGCUUUGGGAAAUCUUGGUUCAAUAAGUUUAAUGUUUUUGGCUGUUGAGUUGAAAGAAGUGGUGGAGUCGUCUUCUCCACUCGUCAUUUUAGUUCGCUGCCCAGAAGCAGCAGCAUAGCAACAAGGAUUCAGCACUAGUCCCAAAGGGUUUGAAGGUGGAAUUUGGACCUAAUUCCAAGAAAUUUAAGGGCUCAAAUCUAAAAAAUGCAGAUGCAACAAAGAAGAGAAGGAGGCAACACACCUGAAUUUGGACUAGAAGUCCAAAUUUUUCUUUCUAUUACUUGUCUAUCUUGCCUGUUAUUAUGACAUCUAACCUUCUUAUUAACUUGGAUGAAUCCUUUGGAGGUUUUUUAAUGACAUCGCUAUUUUGUUACUUA